This 704-nucleotide long non-coding RNA is filed under the name Apteryx owenii (little spotted kiwi). Its description in RNAcentral is "lncRNA (ENSAOWG00000001186.1)". Lineage: Eukaryota; Metazoa; Chordata; Aves; Apterygiformes; Apterygidae. The record is from RNAcentral.
GUUGCAUUUUUUAGUGACUAAAAGAAUAAAGGCCAUGGGGAUUUGUGCCAAAGGCCUUGUUGUCUGGGAAAUUGUAUGGAAUUAAAAAAAUGAAUCUCAUAUUUUCAUUGGUUAACGCAGAUGCAGUGCCCAGUCUUCAAGACAGGCAGAAUACUAAAGAGAGGCCAAAGAAGAGCAGCCUGUAAAAAAACAGCUAAGCUGGCAGCAGUAGCAAGGACCUUUUACAUGACAUGAAAGCCAUGUAACUCCAGAUGUGUGACGAAAACUCAGUAUGCCCAUUUCCAAACUGAAGAGCGCCUCCCAGAGCCCAGGUGUUCAUAUCGUGACAGUAUUGCUGGCUCACUGACUCUUCGGGAUAAGCUCUGCAGAGCCUGCCAAACGCUUCUGGCUGGAGCUGUCUGGACAGUGGCUCCUCAGGGGCACCCUGGUGCACAUCCGCUGAGAGGGGCCGGCAAGGAUGCGGAGACAGAGCGGGUCCCGGGGAGCUGAAGAGGAGAGGCAGGAACAGCAGAAGGGGUGAAUAUUUCAUUGCCCUUUGUUUCUGAUGUGUAGAAAGGAGCAAAGGCCUUGGAUGCCGAGGUAUGUCUCCGGAGGGGGGAAAAAUGUGUGGCAGUUUUUCUCUACUUUGAUCAAAUCAUUUCCAAGGAAAUAGUGAGUUUUUGCAGAGUCUUAGAUAAGGAGAGACUUCUCUUACUUCCAUUUGU